AUAUCAUAGAUCUUAGAGUAGAUUGAUUUGAUGAUUAGAUCAUAUGUAUAUUAGAUUAAUAUGAUUAAUCUAGUUGCCUUCCAUUAUAUUUUAUUUCAAAAAUUUUUGAAAUAUAUGCAUAAAAUCGUCUAUAUUUUCCAACAAGCAAAAAAUCAAAGCACACCACAAACAUAAGCAAUUUAUAGUGGUUCAGUAUAACCCCGC
Molecule: long non-coding RNA, 204 nt
Filed under: Elaeis guineensis (African oil palm)
Lineage: Eukaryota; Viridiplantae; Streptophyta; Magnoliopsida; Arecales; Arecaceae
Description: long non-coding RNA (EGUI_LNC050808)
Source: RNAcentral